This 459-nucleotide ribosomal RNA is filed under the name uncultured bacterium. RNAcentral's name for it is "partial 16S ribosomal RNA". It matches the Rfam family "Bacterial small subunit ribosomal RNA", at positions 338 to 795 of the family's 1533-position model. The record is from RNAcentral.
CCUACGGGGUGCAGCAGUGAGGAAUAUUGGUCAAUGGUCGGGAGACUGAACCAGCCAAGCCGCGUGAGGGAUGAAGGUACAGAGUAUCGUAAACCUCUUUUGUCAGGGAACAAAGGCGGGGACGUGUCCCCGGAUGAGUGUACCUGAAGAAAAAGCAUCGGCUAACUCCGUGCCAGCAGCCGCGGUAAUACGGAGGAUGCGAGCGUUAUCCGGAUUUAUUGGGUUUAAAGGGUGCGCAGGCGGUCUGUUAAGUCAGCGGUCAAAGCCCGGGGCUCAACCCCGGCCCGCCGUUGAAACUGGCAGGCUCGAGUUGGAGAGAAGUAUGCGGAAUGCGCGGUGUAGCGGUGAAAUGCAUAGAUAUCGCGCAGAACUCCGAUUGCGAAGGCAGCAUGCCGGCUCCACACUGACGCUGAGGCACGAAAGCGUGGGUAUCGAACAGGAUUAGAUACCCUUGUAGUC